GACGAACGCUGGCGGCGUGCUUAACACAUGCAAGUCGAACGGAAAGGCCCUGCUUGUGUGGGGUGCUCGAGUGGCGAACGGGUGAGAAACACGAGAGUAACCUGCCCUUGACUUUGGGAUAACUUCAGGAAACUGGGGAUAAUACCGGAUAGGAGCUCCUGCUGCAUGGUGGGGGUUGGAAAGUUUCGGCGGUUGGGGAUGGACUCGCGGCUUAUCAGCUUGUUGGUGGGGUAGUGGCUUACCAAGGCUUUGACGGGUAGCCGGCCUGAGAGGGUGACCGGCCACAUUGGGACUGAGAUACGGCCCGGACUCCUACGGGAGGCAGCAGUGGGGAAUAUUGCACAAUGGGCGGAAGCCUGAUGCAGCAACGCCGCGUGCGGGAUGACGGCCUUCGGGUGGUAAACCGUUUUCGCCUGUGACGAAGCGUGAGUGACGGUAAUGGGUAAAGAAGCACCGGCUAACUACGUG
Molecule: ribosomal RNA, 468 nt
Filed under: uncultured bacterium
Lineage: Bacteria
Description: partial 16S ribosomal RNA
Rfam family: Bacterial small subunit ribosomal RNA
Source: RNAcentral